RNAcentral lists this ribosomal RNA (2896 nucleotides) under Escherichia coli. RNAcentral's name for it is "bacterial LSU rRNA". It matches the Rfam family "Bacterial large subunit ribosomal RNA". Lineage: Bacteria; Pseudomonadati; Pseudomonadota; Gammaproteobacteria; Enterobacterales; Enterobacteriaceae. The record is from RNAcentral.
ACUAAGCGUACACGGUGGAUGCCCUGGCAGUCAGAGGCGAUGAAGGACGUGCUAAUCUGCGAUAAGCGUCGGUAAGGUGAUAUGAACCGUUAUAACCGGCGAUUUCCGAAUGGGGAAACCCAGUGUGAUUCGUCACACUAUCAUUAACUGAAUCCAUAGGUUAAUGAGGCGAACCGGGGGAACUGAAACAUCUAAGUACCCCGAGGAAAAGAAAUCAACCGAGAUUCCCCCAGUAGCGGCGAGCGAACGGGGAGCAGCCCAGAGCCUGAAUCAGUGUGUGUGUUAGUGGAAGCGUCUGGAAAGGCGCGCGAUACAGGGUGACAGCCCCGUACACAAAAAUGCACAUGCUGUGAGCUCGAUGAGUAGGGCGGGACACGUGGUAUCCUGUCUGAAUAUGGGGGGACCAUCCUCCAAGGCUAAAUACUCCUGACUGACCGAUAGUGAACCAGUACCGUGAGGGAAAGGCGAAAAGAACCCCGGCGAGGGGAGUGAAAAAGAACCUGAAACCGUGUACGUACAAGCAGUGGGAGCNNNNNNNNNNNNNNNGUGACUGCGUACCUUUUGUAUAAUGGGUCAGCGACUUAUAUUCUGUAGCAAGGUUAACCGAAUAGGGGAGCCGAAGGGAAACCGAGUCUUAACUGGGCGUUAAGUUGCAGGGUAUAGACCCGAAACCCGGUGAUCUAGCCAUGGGCAGGUUGAAGGUUGGGUAACACUAACUGGAGGACCGAACCGACUAAUGUUGAAAAAUUAGCGGAUGACUUGUGGCUGGGGGUGAAAGGCCAAUCAAACCGGGAGAUAGCUGGUUCUCCCCGAAAGCUAUUUAGGUAGCGCCUCGUGAAUUCAUCUCCGGGGGUAGAGCACUGUUUCGGCAAGGGGGUCAUCCCGACUUACCAACCCGAUGCAAACUGCGAAUACCGGAGAAUGUUAUCACGGGAGACACACGGCGGGUGCUAACGUCCGUCGUGAAGAGGGAAACAACCCAGACCGCCAGCUAAGGUCCCAAAGUCAUGGUUAAGUGGGAAACGAUGUGGGAAGGCCCAGACAGCCAGGAUGUUGGCUUAGAAGCAGCCAUCAUUUAAAGAAAGCGUAAUAGCUCACUGGUCGAGUCGGCCUGCGCGGAAGAUGUAACGGGGCUAAACCAUGCACCGAAGCUGCGGCAGCGACGCUGAUGCGUUGUUGGGUAGGGGAGCGUUCUGUAAGCCUGNNNNNNNNNNNNNNNNNNNNUGCUGGAGGUAUCAGAAGUGCGAAUGCUGACAUAAGUAACGAUAAAGCGGGUGAAAAGCCCGCUCGCCGGAAGACCAAGGGUUCCUGUCCAACGUUAAUCGGGGCAGGGUGAGUCGACCCCUAAGGCGAGGCCGAAAGGCGUAGUCGAUGGGAAACAGGUUAAUAUUCCUGUACUUGGUGUUACUGCGAAGGGGGGACGGAGAAGGCUAUGUUGGCCGGGCGACGGUUGUCCCGGUUUAAGCGUGUAGGCUGGUUUUCCAGGCAAAUCCGGAAAAUCAAGGCUGAGGCGUGAUGACGAGGCACUACGGUGCUGAAGCAACAAAUGCCCUGCUUCCAGGAAAAGCCUCUAAGCAUCAGGUAACAUCAAAUCGUACCCCAAACCGACACAGGUGGUCAGGUAGAGAAUACCAAGGCGCUUGAGAGAACUCGGGUGAAGGAACUAGGCAAAAUGGUGCCGUAACUUCGGGAGAAGGCACGCUGAUAUGUAGGUGAAGUCCCUCGCGGAUGGAGCUGAAAUCAGUCGAAGAUACCAGCUGGCUGCAACUGUUUAUUAAAAACACAGCACUGUGCAAACACGAAAGUGGACGUAUACGGUGUGACGCCUGCCCGGUGCCGGAAGGUUAAUUGAUGGGGUCAGCGCAAGCGAAGCUCUUGAUCGAAGCCCCGGUAAACGGCGGCCGUAACUAUAACGGUCCUAAGGUAGCGAAAUUCCUUGUCGGGUAAGUUCCGACCUGCACGAAUGGCGUAAUGAUGGCCAGGCUGUCUCCACCCGAGACUCAGUGAAAUUGAACUCGCUGUGAAGAUGCAGUGUACCCGCGGCAAGACGGAAAGACCCCGUGAACCUUUACUAUAGCUUGACACUGAACAUUGAGCCUUGAUGUGUAGGAUAGGUGGGAGGCUUUGAAGUGUGGACGCCAGUCUGCAUGGAGCCGACCUUGAAAUACCACCCUUUAAUGUUUGAUGUUCUAACGUUGACCCGUGAUCCGGGUUGCGGACAGUGUCUGGUGGGUAGUUUGACUGGGGCGGUCUCCUCCUAAAGAGUAACGGAGGAGCACGAAGGUUGGCUAAUCCUGGUCGGACAUCAGGAGGUUAGUGCAAUGGCAUAAGCCAGCUUGACUGCGAGCGUGACGGCGCGAGCAGGUGCGAAAGCAGGUCAUAGUGAUCCGGUGGUUCUGAAUGGAAGGGCCAUCGCUCAACGGAUAAAAGGUACUCCGGGGAUAACAGGCUGAUACCGCCCAAGAGUUCAUAUCGACGGCGGUGUUUGGCACCUCGAUGUCGGCUCAUCACAUCCUGGGGCUGAAGUAGGUCCCAAGGGUAUGGCUGUUCGCCAUUUAAAGUGGUACGCGAGCUGGGUUUAGAACGUCGUGAGACAGUUCGGUCCCUAUCUGCCGUGGGCGCUGGAGAACUGAGGGGGGCUGCUCCUAGUACGAGAGGACCGGAGUGGACGCAUCACUGGUGUUCGGGUUGUCAUGCCAAUGGCACUGCCCGGUAGCUAAAUGCGGAAGAGAUAAGUGCUGAAAGCAUCUAAGCACGAAACUUGCCCCGAGAUGAGUUCUCCCUGACUCCUUGAGAGUCCUGAAGGAACGUUGAAGACGACGACGUUGAUAGGCCGGGUGUGUAAGCGCAGCGAUGCGUUGAGCUAACCGGUACUAAUGAACCGUGAGGCUUAACC